AUUUAUUUUCUUUUUUUUUCCAGAACAUUUCAAAAACUUCCCAAACUGUUUUUCUGUUAGCUUAAUCAUUGUUAAAUCCUUCACUUUCACACCUACUGUCAAGAACCUAAACUUAGCUGAAGCAGCUUAAGUGAUUCAGUUCCCGUCAAACAACAUUCAACAGGAUUCUUACCUCCCAGGCAACUCUUUACUAUCCAGUACAUAAGACUCAAGGACAAUAAAAUUCUUUAUAUAGUGCCAUGUGGCAUCUAAAAUAACUUUGGCUAGGAAAUAAAACAUAUUUGCUGAAAGUUUGGGGUUGAAAUCAAAGAAUGGAUCAAAGUGGCCCUUCAUUUGGCUCCACGUCAUCUCACAAUAGUGAAAUAUAGCAGAAUGUCACUGAACUACCAUAAUACUAAGGGGAGACAUUUUGCAAAAACAGGGAAUGACAAACACGUUUUUUGCUCCUGUUUUAAAGUAAAUUGUACUAAUGACAACAAUAGUGAUCUUUUAUAGGCCCAAAUUGGAUCAGUGAUCAAUUUUGUAGCAUUUCUGUUUCAAAUAUUCAAAAACAAAAAAUAAUCGAAUUAGAAAACAAAAAACUUCAAACUUAAGUGAUGUAAUGAUGGCGCCCCUGUAUUUGACUAGAUGUUAUAUACAUGCCAUUGAAAGACACAGUACCCAAUCUGCCUAAUGUCUAUAAACUGGUGCAAAUAAAGGACAUUUAAACCAUGUAUUCUCUCUUAUUAAAGCCUCCUUUUAAUUGUGUUUUUCCAUCUUGAGUUUCCAACAAGAGCAUCCUCUUAAAGGGAGCUUUUUUUUUUACAAGUAGCUGAAUUUAAUGACAGCUGUCUUCCUGAUAUUGUUUUGUAUAGUAAGGAGUCUCUUGGGAGUUAUCCAGAAACCAAGUCAAGAAAAGACAAUGUUGAGGAACAAAAUAAAAGGGGCUCUGGAAAAUAUGAAGAAAGGAAAAAAGAAUUUGGUGAACUGGAUUUAUCUCCCUUGCUGCCUCUCCAUUGCCUUUUCAUUUCCCCCUUGCAAACCUGGGUAAUGUAAGUAAUUAAUUUUCAAUAAGCUGAAUAAAUGGUCUUCCGCUAUUAAAUAGCUCUAA
Molecule: non-coding RNA, 1090 nt
Organism: Macaca mulatta (Rhesus monkey)
Lineage: Eukaryota; Metazoa; Chordata; Mammalia; Primates; Cercopithecidae
Source: RefSeq, a predicted model, not a curated record